RNAcentral lists this transfer RNA (77 nucleotides) under candidate division BRC1 bacterium ADurb.BinA364. RNAcentral's name for it is "tRNA-Thr". It matches the Rfam family "tRNA". From Rfam's summary of the family: Transfer RNA (tRNA) molecules are approximately 80 nucleotides in length. Their secondary structure includes four short double-helical elements and three loops (D, anti-codon, and T loops). The record is from RNAcentral. Lineage: Bacteria; Candidatus Sumerlaeota.
GCUGGUGUAGCUCAAUUUGGCAGAGCAGCCGCCUUGUAAGCGGCAGGUUAUGGGUUCGAGUCCCUUCACCAGCUCCA